GAGUAUAGCCCAGAGAAAUUUGGAUUAAUCCUCUAUAACAUCUUUUAAUUUCAUGAUUUUAAGAUUAAAGUUUUAACGGUAAAAGAUGGGCAUGCGUCCUAUUAGUUUGUAGGUGAGGUAACGGCUCACCUAGACUACGAUAGGUAGGGGCCCUGAGAGGGGGAUCCCCCACACUGGUACUGAGACACGGACCAGACUCCUACGGGAGGCAGCAGUAAGGAAUAUUGGACAAUGGACGAAAGUCUGAUCCAGCCAUGCCGCGUGCAGGAUGACAGCCCUACGGGUUGUAAACUGCUUUUAUACAGGAAGAAACACUCCGACGUGUCGGAGCUUGACGGUACUGUAAGAAUAAGGAUCGGCUAACUCCGUGCCAGCAGCCGCGGUAAUACGGAGGAUCCAAGCGUUAUCCGGAAUCAUUGGGUUUAAAGGGUCCGCAGGCUGUUUUUUAAGUCAGAGGUGAAAUCCUACAGCUCAACUGUAGAACCGCCUUUGAUACUGGAAAACUUGAGUUAUUGUGAAGUGGUUAGAAUGUGUGGUGUAGCGGUGAAAUGCAUAGAUAUCACACGGAAUACCGAUUGCGAAGGCAGAUCACUAACAAUAUACUGACGCUCAUGGACGAAAGCGUGGGGAGCGAACAGGAUUAGAUACCCUGGUAGUCCACGCCGUAAACGAUGGAUACUAGCUGUUCGUCUAACAUUGGUUAGAUGAGUGGCUAAGCGAAAGUGAUAA
RNAcentral lists this ribosomal RNA (729 nucleotides) under uncultured Bacteroidota bacterium. RNAcentral's name for it is "bacterial SSU rRNA". It matches the Rfam family "Bacterial small subunit ribosomal RNA", at positions 139 to 863 of the family's 1533-position model. Lineage: Bacteria; Pseudomonadati; Bacteroidota. The record is from RNAcentral.